UCUUCUCACUCUGGGAUGGAGGUUUCUGGACAAAAAAUCUCAUUCACCUGGAAGGCCAUGAAAUUGUUCUGGCUUCUGUUCUGCUUGGUGGCAGGUGAACUGUCUGACCUGCAACUGGAGGAGUCAGGGCCAGGAAUUGUAAAGCCCUCAGAGUCCCUUACACUCACCUGUUCUGUCACUGGUGGCUCCGUUACUACCAGUUACUACUGGCACUGGAUCCGACAGUGUCCAGGGAAAGGGCUAGUGUGGAUUGGAUAUUGGAGUGGGAGUACAAAAUACAACCCUGUUUUCCAAAACAGAGUCUCUAUCACAGCAGAUACAUCUAAGAAUCAGUUCUCUCUGCAGCUAAAAUCACUCACAGCUGGAUGCAGCGUUGUAUUACUGUGCAAGAAGCACAAUGUGAAGAGAGGAGUAUGAGUUCAUACAUAAACUUUCUCCUACAAGGAAGCCAGAAGAUCAGGCUGCAUAUGGUGUUCAACUACCGAGCACAAGUGUCCAGUCCCAGGAGAGUAAAGAUGAACCAUUCCUUUCAGGGUCUAUGGCUUUCCCUCUCCACUCAGCAAACUUCC
Non-coding RNA from Phascolarctos cinereus (koala), 569 nucleotides. The record is from the annotation of a RefSeq genome assembly. NCBI's taxonomy places the organism in Eukaryota, Metazoa, Chordata, Mammalia, Diprotodontia, Phascolarctidae.